UCACGUAGUGAGACAACGGAGCCGCUUGCGGCGACGGCCCGAAGGGCGAGGCGAAGCCGAGUCAUCCUGCACGACCCACCA
Molecule: small RNA, 81 nt
Filed under: Klebsiella quasipneumoniae subsp. similipneumoniae
Lineage: Bacteria; Pseudomonadati; Pseudomonadota; Gammaproteobacteria; Enterobacterales; Enterobacteriaceae
Description: partial RtT sRNA
Rfam family: RtT RNA
About the family: This family represents a bacterial cis-regulatory element known as RtT RNA. The exact function of RtT is unknown although it is thought that it may be involved in changing the cellular response in relation to amino acid starvation.
Source: RNAcentral